GUUGGCCAUUAAAAGCCCUCAAAAUACUCACAGCCACUGGCUUGUAACCGAUAUCCAAAGAAGAUCUGAUGGCAAGUGUGUGGUUUUUUCCCUCCUGGAGAACCAGUCGAGGGAAGGGAGUCAAGUGACAAGCAGGUUUGGUCGCUGAAAACAUCCCUCCUGCUCCAACUUUUCCAAACACGCAUGCCGGCACUGUAAUUAAUCUCAGUGAAAUGGAAUGUAUCGUCCUGACCAGUUCAGCUGGUGUGGGCCAAAGUGCAAAGGAACAAGCAAAAAGAAAAAGGAGUUCAGUCUCUCGCUUCGGAGGGCGCAGUUCGGUUUCCCUAACAAGAAAAUCUGACACAACUCCUCUUCGUGAAAGGAACGGGACCGUGGCAAGAGGCAAUGAUAGAUUCCACAAGGCUGUAGAGAGUUCAAAGAAGAGACAGGUUGCUGUUUUUCAAAACGCUAUUCUGCUCGGCAGGAUCUGCAAUGUUUAGAAUGUGUGGUGAGAUUUGGGAACAGGCGCAAAUCAAACUUUUAAAUGCACACACACACACACACACACACACACACACACACAGUGCAGUUACUCACAAAGUGUGCAGAAUAAUUAAGUUGGUAUGUGUGGGGCAGCCAACCCCCAAACCUAGAGACCCCAUGCAGCACUGGUUCUGCGCCCCCUAACCAAUAUGUCGCAAGGGAAGGAAGGAAGGCAUUAUAAGAGAACAAGGAAGCGUUCGUGGUGAGUUCUAGCACGUCUUUUUCUAGAAAAACAGCACCACAUGUGAUUCCCAAGUAGUCUCUCAUUCAGAAACUGAUGAGUGUCUGAGGUGUUUAGCUUCAGCAAGGCCUCAGUGCCUCAGGAGUCCUCAAGCCAGUCAGGAGAGGUGCUGGAACUGAGUUCAAGUGAGUUCCAGCUGAAGAAAAGCGCUGAUCGCAUAUAUGCUGCCUUGAGUUCCACAGCUGAAAGAAGGUAGUGUAUACUUUUCAAUGUUUUUUUUUUAAAAAAAAUCUGUUUUUUCUGUUUCUAGUUGUUUUAUUAGACAUCGUUUUAAGUUGGUUGGCUAAAAUGUGAUUAAUAAAUCAGUGGUGGGAAUGUUCUUAAUAAUAAAUUUACUAAAUAAAUAGCCCAUUCACUUGUUUUUUCUCAUAGCCUUUAGUAUCUAGCUUCCCUUGCCUCUAUGACUGCCACACAGCUGUUUUCCUUGACAUUGACCUUUGCUUGUGUCUUUUGACCAUGGGAUGUCUCUCUGACUCCCAUCAACCAAUCCAGCUGCUGGCUCCUGCAUCACAGCCAGCUGGGUUCUGCCUGUCAUUCUGACCAUUAGUCUUCUCUUAGACAGCUCUUUGCGCUGUCUGUUUCAAGGAUCUAUGUAAAAGCCCUUAAUAUGAAAGCUGAGUAUCCAGUUUUCGAGUGUCGGUGCUUGCUUGAUGCGAAACUGACAGCAGCAGCAUGUUUUUGACCCAUAAAUAUAUUAACGGAAGACUUUGUAGCACGUCUUGGUAGGUUUCCACAAGCCGCAUGAAUAUUCAGCAUCAACGGGAGAGUAUUCAUCCAUUGUAGAGAAUGAAUAUAUAUUUCCAAACUCCUCACUUGAGAAUCAAGAAAUUCCCAUCUCAAGGUCUUCCAGAUCAGCCAAAGUUCAAGUUCUUACUUCUUCACCUUGACAAAUAUACGAGGCAGACGAGUGUGAUACACAGUUCAGAGCAUCGCUGGGUGAUUCAGUAGCAAAGUCAGGAGGAGGCGAAGGAUGAGCAAUAUUAUGUAAAUGCAGCUGUGCUGAUUUACAGGCGCAAAUGGUGUUAGAUUUCAAGGAAUAAAAAUAAAAAACCAAAUUCCUACAAUUGGAUUUUAGGACGGUUAGUCAUCCACAUAAAUAGAAUAAUGACGUGCCUGUCAUUGAAAGGACCUUUUUAUGAGAAGAGUAACUUUGAACUCCUGUUGAAUGCUGAUUUCCUCGUUGAAACUCACCAACAGGAUGGAAUAAGAGGGCAGAUGAAACAGCAGUCACCUGUGGAAUGAGCAGCCCACCAGUUCACUGGCUUACAUUAAGGUUCAGACAUCUACAGUGGUGCCUCGCAAGACGAAAUUAAUUCGUUCCGCGAGUUUUUUCGUCUAGCGAAUUUUUCGUCUUGCGAAGCACGGUUUCCCAUAGGAAUGCAUUGAAAUUCAAUUAAUGCGUUCCUAUGGUCAAAAAAAGUCCAAUCAAAGCCAAAUUUGGUACAACAAUAGUUUAUUAACUGCUCUUUAAAGUCACACAUACUUUAAAGAGCAUAUCAAAAAUUGAAGGAACAAUAAAUUAAGUUUCUAAACAUGACAGAAAAACAUUUAAAAAUCAACAAAGUGUACUGUACAUACAUUUUCUAAGACUCUGGGGAACCACUCGAAGAAGGUUCCUCUUCCACUCUUUGCUUCUUGCUGAGGAACCUGUCCAUGGUCUGCUGCUUCAUCCGCCUUUUCAGCAGCUCCCUGAGAGGCAACAUGACCGUCGUAUCAAAAGUGUUCGCUUGGUCAUGUGCCACGUGCUUGUUAGGGUGGUGCCGCUCUGCAAAAGCCUGCACCUCCUUCCACUUCUGGCAAAUGUCCCUCAGUUCUUUGGAGGACGGCCGUUCCUCAGUUGCUUCCUCCUCUUCCAGCGAGGCCUGCUCCUGCGCAACCUCUGCCUGCAGUUCAACCAGCUCCUGGGUGGUCAGCUCGUGGUCGUGCUCCUCCACCAGCUCGCUGACGUCCUCCUCUGUGACCUCCAGGCCCAUGGUCCUCCCCAAGGCAACAAUGUCCUGCACCACUGUUGACUCUGGUGCAUCAGAGUCACUUGGUGCCACACAGUCCGGCCACAGGCUGCGCCAAGCGCAAUUCAAAUUUCUCUGGCUGAUCCCGUUCCAGGCCGUGGUGAUCAUCUUCAAGCAGGUGACGAUGUCGAAGUGGUCCUUCCAGAAUUCCCGCAGGGUGAUGGUGGUGCAAUCAGUCACCUCGAAGCAUCGCCUGAAAAGCUCCUUGGUGUAGAGUUUUUGAAAUUGGCGAUGACCUGCUGAUCCAUCGGCUGGAGCAGUGGCGUGGUGUUAGGCGGCAGGAACAUGAUGUUGAUGAAGCUGAACUCCUCCAACAAGUCCACCUCAAGGCCUUUAGGAUGAGCAGGAGCAUUGUCCAUCAGAAGCAAAGCCUUCAGCGGCAGGUCGUUGUCCAGCAGGUACUGUUUGACAGCAGGGCCAAAAGCAAGAUUGACCCAGUCCACAAACAGCACACGUGUGACCCAAGCCUUGCUGUUGGAUCGCCACAUGACACUCAGCCGCUCCUUGUCGACCUUGUGUUUCUUGAAGGCCCGUGGGUUCUCCGAGUGGUACACCAGCAGGGGCUUGAUCUUCAGGUCGCCGCUUGCGUUGGCACAGAAGAGCAGGGUCAGGCGGUCCUUCAUGGGCUUGUGGCCAGGCAACUUGGCCUCCUCCUGUGUGAUGAAAGUCCUUUUGGGCAUCCUCUUCCAAAACAGCCCAGUCUCGUCGCAGUUGAAGACCUGCUGUGGAACGUAGCCCUCCGUCUUCACAACCUCCAGGAACUCCAAGGCAAAGUCUUCAGCCGCAGGAACAUCAGAACUGGCAGCCUCUCCAUGCCUGACCACGCUGUGGAUUCCAGAUCUUGCCUUGAACCGGUCAAACCAGCCUCUGCUUGCCUUGAAGACUUCUGGCUCGCCUGAGGUUCCUGGCUGUUCCCGGAUGAGGUCUGCGUGCAAGGCCUUGGCCUUCUCACAAAUGACGGCCUCAGUCACUGUGUCCCCUGCACGCUGCUUCUCUUCUAACCAGAUGAGCAGCAACUUCUCGACCUCCUCCAGAACAGCUGGGCGGUUCUUCACGAUCCUGGUGACUCCCUUGGCUGCAUCAGUCGCAAGGAUCUUCUCCCUCAUCUUCAGGAUGGUCCCGAUGGUCGAUGGGUUCCUGCCGUACUCCCUGGCGAGGUCCGUCACACGCAUUCCACCGUCGUGCUUCCAGAUGAUCUCCUUCUUCAUUUCCAGCGUCACCUUCUCCUUCUUCCUCUCGCCGGCCUCCGCAGCAGCAGCAGUCUUCUUGGGUCCCAUGGCAGCACAGCUCUUACCUUCGUAAACUCAGAAAAAGAAAAAGAAAAUCAGCAAUUCAAACCCAGAACCAAGUCCUUGAAUUCCAAACACCCAACCCAAAAUCCAAGAACCCCCAAAAAAGUUUUAAAAGUUUAACUUACGAAAUGGCUGCAAAUCACCAAAGUCUUCAAAAUCCUCAAAUGGCUGCAAAGAAGUUUUGGGAAAGCUUUAAAAAUCACCAAAGUCUUCAAAAACCUCAACUGUUCCCCCAGCCCCUCCCCAACUGUUGCAAACCCCUCCCCAACUGUUGCAAACCCCUCCUCAACUGUUCCCCCAUCCACCCAGCACACAGAAAUUCAAACCCAGAAAUUUUUUCAAAAAAAAACAACAUGGCCCAAUGGUCACAGAAAACCAUAAAAAUGCAGGAAAAAACCACACAAGCUCCCAGAUUCUUGCAAACCCCUCCUCAACUGUUCCCCCAUCCACCCAGCACACAGAAAUUCAAACCCAGAUUUUUUUUUCCAAAAAAAAAAACAUGGCCCAAUGGUCACAGAAAAUCAUAAAAAUGCAGAAAAAACCACACAAGCUCCCAGAUUCUUGCAAACCUCUCCCCAACACCAAGUCCUUGAAUUCUAAACACCCCAACCCAAAAUCCAAAAAACCCCCAAAAAGUUUUAAAAGUUUAACUUACCAAACAGCUGCAAAAGAAGUUUUGGAAAAGCUUCAAAAAUUCAGCAAACUCUUUAAAAAGCUCAAAAGGCCACCACACUGCGUGCAAUGUGUUGCUCCUCGAAGUCAAGUCGCAACUGCACCUCUUCCAGCAAUGCACCCUGGGUAUUAACGGUUUUACGAAAAAGGAAACAAACUUGCAAGACGUUUUCGUCUUGCGAAGCAAGCCCAUAGUGAAAUUCGUCUUGCGAAGCAACUCGAAAACGAAAAAACCUUUCGUCUUGCUAGUUUUUCGUCUUGCGAGGCGUUCGUCUUGCGGGGCACCACUGUAUUGCAUUAGACGCUUUGGAUGCAGGGUGUGAGUGUAUCCAUGGGUGUAGCGUGGGUUGACAGUACCUGGGGCAGUGCAGAAGGGGGUGGGUGGGAAACAGACAGAGNNNNNNNNNNNNNNNNNNNNNNNNNNNNNNNNNNNNNNNNNNNNNNNNNNNNNNNNNNNNNNNNNNNNNNNNNNNNNNNNNNNNNNNNNNNNNNNNNNNNGCAAGCACAUUCCAUUGCCUAACAGAGUCCAUGUCACCCAGGAAAUCACAGCCACAGAGAUAAGAAAAGAAGAGUAAUUCCAUAGUCUGGAGAGGUCACUUCCUGGUUUGCAUGGAGAAGCCGUUUGCAAUGGAGCCCAGCAACGGAAGUGAGCAGCUGCACUGAGGCAGCACUGGGUGUUGAAAUUUUGCGCCCCAACAAUUUUGCGCCCGGGGGAACCACCCCUGUGGGCCCCUCGCACUACACUACUGAGGGUACCACCACUAGGGUGACCACCACCAUGUGACCAAUGCAACCAAUGGGACAAGGUACAUGUGUACACAUGUGUGCCAUGAGCCCCACAGUGCUGCUGGGGUCGGGCUUGGAUUGGCAGGCUCUGACACAGGAGGAGGAGGAACAAGAAACAGGGGGUGGGGCGCGAACCCGUCGCAAGCGAGGGAUUUCUCUGGGAGAGGAACCCUGGCUAUUUCGGCCAGAAAAGGGGGGUUUUAGGGCGAAAAAACCCCCUCUUAAACAUCUGGGGGGUGUCCAGAGGGUCAGGUUCCCGGCAGUGCCUAAAAGCUGCCCAGCCGGCCGCCAGGUAACCUCGGAAAGGGGUGAAGAGCGAGGCGGAACGGGAUAGCAGGCUAUCGGGAAGCCAUUGCUACGGCCAAAUAGCGAAGCCCUGAGCUUGCAAGGAACAGCGCUUCGCUCUUAAAUUUAAGAAAUUCGGACUUAAAAUAAUUAUAAUUGGAUUGAAGAGACAUUAAGGGAAGUACCGAAAUAAAAAGGAGAAGAUUUCAAGUUCAGCUGUCAUCUGGAAUCAGCGCAGACGCAGCAUUGCAAGCAGAGCCAGAAAGCGAAAGUGAGUUGCCGCUAGCGGCUAUUGUUUCCGUUUCUCCCUAACUUUUAGAAACUUUUAGAAACUAAGUUAAAAGUUUAAAAGUAACCUUUAUUGAGAAUUUAAAGAGGUGGAAAAGCAAAGGGGGAACAGAAGGUUACUAUUGUGGCAAGCAGAAGUCUUAGAUGCAACGGAGGAUAUAUGAGGAUUGAAUUGUUUUCCCACUUCUACUUUCACAAUAAACUUGUUACGCCAGGAGAAGAGCUUCCGACUCCAUUUUAACUUAGCAGAAAGGCUACAGCGGCAGAGAAGAAAGAAAUAAUAUAUUUCUCCACUUUCCUUUUUUUGGGUGAUUUUGGUUUUUUCCCCCUUUAAUUUUAAAAAAUUUGAAAAUUAAAUCUGGCAAAAUUGAAUUGGAAAAUUUAACUUAAGUUAAUUGACAAUUAUUUAAAUUACUUAACUGUGGAUUGGAGCCCCCUAGUGGAUGGAAUGAGAUACUACAACUUGUUUUUCACGAUUUUUCUUUGUUAAUGGAGUAUUACUGAGGUGGAAGGAAUACUUGUUUUCCUGUUUGGUUUCCUGUUCCCCAUAUUUUUGUGGAAUGCCCUGCUUGGAAUUAUAAAAAACCUACCCUCUCAAAUAUUUAUAUCUCCUCUGAAAUACCGUCUGGAUUAUUAAACAGAAAAUAAUUUGGACCUGGCUUUGGAACUUUAAACAGAUAAUAUAGAACCAAUUUUUUGAUUUGAAAUCAGAAGAUAUAAAAUAAAUUAAAACUAUUUGGAUUAUAGCCAUAUUUUUGUUUUUAUUUUGGAAGAAAUUAUUAUUAUUAUUUUCCUCUUUUUUGGGAAACAACCAUAAUUGGAUAUCUUACUGGAAUACAAUUUAAAUUAUUCGGAUUACAAUCUGGAUUACAAUUUUAUUAUCUCAACUCAAUUUAUAUUUGGAUUAUAGUUUUAUUCAGUUCAUGAAAUAUCCAAGAGGACAUCUAAAGAAUCUAACUGAGGAUUAGCCCGAGUGGGGGCAAGAAGACUGGACUACAUCUUAAUUCUGGUUCAGGUUUUGACUGCCUUCAUGUUUAGAAGUGGUUAAAGGGGGAAGCAUUCCCUCUUAUAAAAGCUAUGAUCCGCUCCUCCUCUUCCUAUAUUAUUUUUUAAAAUUACGGAGUAAAACUAAGUAAUUGUAUUCUGUAUUUUUAUGUUUUGGAAAGGAUAUUAAAAUUGUAACGGUGAAAACUAUUUGAACAACUGGGAAACUGUUUAAGUUACAUUGACUAAAUAUAAGGUAAAUAACUAAUUUGAGAAACUUGUUUUUGUAUUGGUUAUAUCUUGGUAUUUUUGUGAAGGGAAAUGUCACAUCAACCAAAAAAAGGGGUAGAGGGAGGGGCGCCGACUGACAGGAGAGCAUCAAAGCAAGAAACAGAGUUUAGAACAGAAAUAUUGAGAAUGUUUGCAGAGAUAAAACAAAGUGAAAAAAAUCUGGAAACAAAAUUGGAACAAGUAGAUAAUAAAAUUGGGAAAAUGGAUAAAAAAAUUGAUGAGACAGUCAAUGAACUGAAAGGGCAAAUAAAAGAGGUAUCCAAAAGAACUCAAUCAUUGGAGGAGGGGAUGAAGAGGACAAAACUGGAAAUGAGAGAGGUAAAGCGAGAGGAAGAGAGGAUGAAGACUGAGAUGAUGGAAAUAAACAAAUCACAGGAAGAAAUUAUAGAUGCGAUGAAUGAGCUGAGACAGAGAGAAGUGAAUUUGAGGCUGAGAUCAGUGCCGGAAAUACAGAACGAAAAUAUAAAAGAGAGAUUGAUAACGGAAAUUGCGCAGUGGCUGGAGAUGCCAGCAGAAGUUGCAAAAACAGUUCAAAAUGCAUUUAGAAUGAAAGUAAGGACAAGUAAAGCAAGGAAAUUCCCUGGUGACUGCUUAAUUACAUUCAAGGAUAGAGAGAUGAGAAAUUUGAUUUUACAGAAGAACAGAAAUAAAAGACUAUACAUAGACGGGAAUUACAUAAUUAUCUUUAAAGAUAUACCAAUAAGGCUGUUGAAACGAAGAGACCCAUAUAAGCCACUGGUGCAGAUCCUUAAGAAAAACAAGAUUGACUUCAGAUGGGAAUUUCCUGAGGGAGUCUCGUUCUUUUACAAAGGUAAGAAACGCAGAUUGAUAAGCCCAGAAGAAAUAGGGAAAUUUACGAGAAGGUACAAGGAAUUACAAGUGGAAGAAGAAGAGGUCAAAGGUGCAGGAGGAGGAGCAGGAUCCAGGGAAGAGUCUGAAUCAGGAGAAGAAGAAGAACAGAACGGAAAGAAAUCGGAAGAAGAAAAGGAAGAAGAAGAAGAAGAGGUUGAUAGGUUAUAAGGAAACGAAACCAAAUUUAUUUAAUUGGAAGACAUUAUGGCGUUAAAAUUAUGGAAUUGGAACAUUAAUGGGAUGAAUGAUAAGAAGAAACAAAACAAAAUUGAACAAUUUUUUAAAAAGAAAAAUCUGGACAUCAUAUGUUUACAAGAAACACAUGUGGCAAAGAGACACAGAAAAAUUCUGAUUAACAAAAGACUCGGGAAUGAAUUUAUUUCUUCGGACAAAGAGAAAAAAAGGGGAGUUGUGUUAUACAUUAAAAACAAAAUCGAAUCUCACCAAAUAUUUAAGGAUGAAGAAGGAAGAAUUAUAGCAGUUCAGAUUAAAUGGCAAGGCGAAAAAUUAAUAAUUGUCGGGAUCUACGCACCAAAUGGAAAUAAGACUGAUUUUUACAAAGCUCUGGAGGAAAAAUUAUUUGAGUACAUGGAUCAGAAAAUUAUAAUAAUGGGAGACAUGAACGGAGUGGUUUCAUUGGAAAUGGAUAGACUAAGAGAAGGAAUGAAUAAAGAAGGGAAAUUGCCUAAGACCUUCUUUAUGAUGACUAAGAACUGUAACUUGAUUGACAUCUGGAGAUUUAGACACCCAUUGGAGAAGCAAUUUACCUAUUACUCAGAACCGAAUCAGUCAAUGUCAAGAAUAGAUCAAAUAUGGGUAUCGAAUGAAUUGACUCCAAGAAUUCAACAAAUUGAAAUACAACCCAAAGUAAUUUCAGAUCACAACCCAAUAAAAAUGGAACUAAAAGGUUUUGAAGAAAGAACUUUCAGAUGGAGGAUUAAUGACUACUUGCUGGAUGACCAGAAGAUUGUAGAAAAAGCACAAAAGAAAUUAUCUGAAUAUUUUAUGGACAAUAUCAAUAAAGGUACAAAGAUGAAUAUAGUUUGGGACGCAAGCAAAGCAGUUAUGAGAGGAUUUUUCAUUCAGCAGAACUCAUUGAAGAAUAAAAACAGGGGAAAGGGGAAAAAAGAAAUUUUAAAGCAGAUUAUGGAUAAUGAGCAAAAAUUAAUCAAAAAACCAAACAACUUAAAAAUUAAGCAAGAGAUUAAGACCCUUCAAACUCAAUUUGCAAUGAUAAUAAACAAGGAAGUAGAAUGGAAUAUUAAAAGGUUAAGACAGAAAAACUUUGAGUUCGCUAAUAAAUCAGGAAAAUGGCUUGCGUGGCAACUUAAAAAGAGAAAGGAGCAGAGCACAAUUAAUAAAAUUAUGGUAAAUGGCGAGGAGACAGUUAAUCCGAAAGAAAUCAGAAAAGGAUUCUUGGACUUCUACAGGCAACUGUACAGAAAUAAAGAAAGGAAUAAUAUGAAGAAAAUAGAAAGAUAAAAAGGUGCAGAAGAUCCCGACAGAACAAAAAGACCAGCUGAACGCCCCAAUAGAAACAGAGGAAGUAAAAGAGGUCUUAAAAGAGUUGAAGAGAGGGAAAGCCCCGGGACCAGACAGAUUUACAUCAAGUUAUUAUAAAGAAAUGAAAGAUGUGUUGAUGACCCCAUUGAAAGAAGUUAUGAACAAUAUCUUAAAAGAAAGCGACAUCCCAGAAACGUGGAAAGAAGCAUAUAUUACUUUGAUUCCAAAACAAGAAUCGGACUUAACCUAAGUUAAAAAUUAUAGGCCUAUUUCAUUAUUGAACAUGGACUACAAGAUAUUUGUGGGGAUUUUAGCGAAGAGAAUGAAAAAGAUACUGAUAAGAAUUAUCCAUAAAGAUCAAGCAGGUUUCCUACCAGGCAGACAAAUGAAAGAUAAUAGAAGGAAUAUAAUUAAUGUUCUAGAAUAUCUGACUGCUAGGAACGAGAAACAAGCAAUUUUAAUGUUUGUGGAUGCAGAAAAGGCCUUUGAUAAUAUUGUAUGGGAGUUUAUGUUGAAAAAUUUAGAGCAUAUGGAUGUGGGGAAAGAGUUUCUAAAUGGUAUUAAGGCAAUCUAUGCAGAACAGAGAGCAAAAUUGAUAGUUAAUAGCGUAAUUACAGAAGAUAUAAAAAUAUCUAAAGGAACAAGACAAGGUUGCCCGCUCUCGCCAUUGUUAUUUAUAACAGUUCUGGAGGUCUUUUUAAAUGCGAUUAGACAAAAUAAACAAAUAAAAGGGGUGACAGUAGGUCAGAAUGAGUAUAAAGUUAAAGCCUUUGCCGACGAUUUGGUAAUAACAAUCGAAGAACCAAUAGAAAGUGUAAAAGAGGUAUUGGAUGAGAUUGAACAAUUUGGGAGGGUAGCCGGAUUUAGACUGAAUAAGAAAAAGACUAAAAUGAUUGCAAAAAAUAUGGAACAAAGUAAGAUUGAAACAAUGCAGCAACAGACGGAGAUAGAGGUGGUGAAAAAGGCAAAAUAUCUGGGAAUUUGGUUAUCUCCCAAAAAUAUUGAUUUGUAUCAAAAUAAUUAUAUUCCGGUUUGGAAGAGAAUAAGGAAUGAUCUGGAGGUGUGGGGUAGAAUGAAACUAUCUUUUUGGGGUAGAAUUUCUACGAUAAAGAUGAGCGUACUGCCAAAGAUGUUAUUCUUAUUUCACACUAUCCCCAUUAUAAAGGGGAUAGGAAUUUUUAAAGAAUGGCAAAGAGUGAUUUCAAGGUAUAUCUGGCAGGGGAAGAAGCCAAGAAUAAAAUAUAAGUUAUUGACAGAUGUAAAAGAAAGAGGAGGCUUCGCCCUACCAGAUAUGAAAUUAUAUUAUGAAGCAGCAUGCCAAUGUUGGCUAAAGGAAUGGAUAAAAUUAGAAAAUAAGGAGUUACUAGAUCUUGAAGGUUUUAAUAACAGAUUUGGUUGGCACGCGUAUCUAUGGUGUGAUAAGAAGAAAGUCCAUAAAGGUUUUGGAAACCACAUUUUCAGGAGUUCGCUAAUAGAAAUAUGGGAAAGAUAUAAAAAUUUACUGGAACCAAAAGUUCCACAUUGGCUAUCUCCGUUGGAGGUUAUGAGUGUAAAAAAAAUUAAUAUGAGAGGAAAAUGGAUCACAUAUGGAGAACUGGUAAUUAAAGAAGGAGGAAAAUGGAAACUAAAACCAUAUGAACAAGUUAAAGAUCAUGUAUAUGAUUGGUUGCAUUAUUUCCAGGUAAACGAAAUGUUUAAAAAAGAUCUAAAAGAAAGUGGUUGUGUAGAAAAAGAUUCUAAAUUCCAAACAGAUAUAAUAAACAAUGAAUGUAAAACUUUGUCAAAAAUGUAUAAGAUAUUGUUGGAAUGUCAUACGAAAGAUGAAGAGGUUAAAUCGGUAAUGAUACAAUGGGCCAAAGAUUUUGGAUAUAACAUACAAUUUGAUGAUUGGGAAAAACUGUGGAAAGAGAAUGUAAAAUUUACUGCAUGUAUGGCAUUGAAAGAAAAUGUUAUGAAAAUGUUUUAUAGAUGGUACAUUACACCAGUAAAACUAGCAAAGAUGUAUAAGACGUGUAACAAAUGUUGGAAAUGUAAAGGAAAAGAAGGAACAUUCUUCCGUAUGUGGUGGGAAUGUAAGAAAGUGAAAAGUUUUUGGGAAAUGAUUUAUAAUGAAAUGAAAAAGAUGUUAAGAUAUACUUUUGUAAAAAAAACAGAGGCUUUUCUUUUAGGGAUCACAGGAAAGGAAAUAAGAAGAAAAGACUGUAAACUCUUUCAAUAUGCAGUUACGGCAGCUAGAAUCUUGUUGGCCCAGAAAUGGAAACAAGAGGAAAUACCGACGAUAGAAGAAUGGAGAAUGAAACUGACAGACUAUGCGGAAUUGGACAAACUGACUGGGAAAAUUAGAUACAUCAGAGACCAAAAGUUCAUCGAAGACUGGGGAAAGUUUGUAGAUUAUCUGAAAAAUGUGUGUGAUGUGAAAACAAUGCUAGUGGGAUUUCAGGAGGCACUGUAAAAACAAAGAAGUAUUGUUAAUAUGAAAUAAAAGGAGAAGGGAAGCUUAAUGGCAAUACGAAUGAAGGGAAUGCGUAUUAAGGAUAUAAAUAUGGAUGAUUGUCAGAGACGCUGAAGGAAGUUCAAAAAGAGAUGAUUUGUUAAAAUUUGGUUAAAAAAUUAUAAUUGUAUGGAAAACUAAUAAAAAUUUAUUGGCAAAAAAAAAAGAAACAGGGGGUGGGGACUCAGUGGUGGGUGGAGGAGGUGGGUAUCUCCUCUUUCCAUACUGACUUCAUGCCAGCUCUCUCCUCCAACCUUCCUGCAAAGCAAUGUGGGCUGGGGAGGACUUUGGUCAACUGAGGAGGGAAGCUGGAGGUUGCAGUAUCUGAACAAGUGUCUAAACUGGAGGGUGCAAGUUUGUUGCCUAGAACCAAUUGCCACCUUCUCAGAUGGGUUCAGACCUUCUCACCCCAACAGAGCAUGCAUUUGUAAUCUCAGUAUUCCCGCAAGGCGAGAGAGCCUCGUGAGUGACGGCAACAUGCCUCAUCUUCAAAAGCUUGGCAGGAGGGACAGGGAAACUUAUUGGGACGUCUUUGUUAUCUCCAUCCAGUUCCAAACUACUUUGCCCUCCCCUCCCCAACACCUGACUCGCAAUUCCUUAACACAGUGUUUAUUGCCAGACCUGUACCACGACUUGCCUGAAUAAAGAACUCCUUUUUACUUACAAGUAAGAGCCUCUGUCUGCUUGUGUUUGGGGUGGGAGCCAAGACAACCUCUAUAAUUUAUUCCCCCCUUUUAAGUGGGAAAGGAUCCCAUGCAAUAUGUGUCACACGGUACACAUGGGGUACCAUAGGAAAGAGUGGGGAACAGCCCUCUGAGUUUCACUGUAAUAGCAUUUUUAAAAGUGCAUUGAUGCCCGUACAUUUCAUGUUAUCCAUUAAUACAAUGGGAUGGUGUCCAUUUAAUAUUAUACCAGCAAAAUGCCCCUGGAUGGCAGGCUUCUGUGUCACAAAAACUGUUGGGAUGCUGUGCAUCUUUAUGUGUUACAUGACUAGGAUAGGGUCUCUACAAUGGAGCUCAAACCUGGAGUCAAAGGUAGGGUGCGUUUUUCUUUCUACAGCAACAUUGUUCCAAGUGUCACAUUUUACUAUCCCCUAAAGCAGUGAAUGGAACGCGGGUGGCGCUGUGGGUUAAACCACAGAGCCUAGGACUUGCUGAUCAGAAGGUCGGCGGUUCGAAUCCCCGCGACAGGGUGAGCUCCCGUUGCUCAGUCCCUGCUCCUGCCAACCUAGCAGUUCGAAAGCACGUCAAAGUGCAAGUAGAUAAAUAGGUACCACUCCAGCGGGAAGGUAAAUGGCGUUUCCAUGCGCUGCUCUGGUUCGCCAGAAGCGGCUUAGUCAUGCUGGCCACAUGACCCAGAAGCUGUACACUGGCUCCCUCGGCCAAUAAAGCGAGAUGAGCGCCGCAACCCCAGAGUUGGCCACGACUGGACCUAAUGGUCAGGGCUCCCUUUACCUUUACUAAAGCAGUGAAUGGUAUCCAUUUAUACGGAUGUUGUGACAUGAGUGCUUAAGAGUACCCUGUACACUGGGACUAGACUGACUCCCUGCCCUUGGUGUCUGCAUCCAAUUAAGUGUUCAAUUAUUUGCAUAGCCCCACCCCUUUCUCUGCCCAGCACACUAGGUUUGGUUUCUUGGUCAUACUACAAUGAACUCAGUUUUAUGUCCCUCUCUAGGCACCAAAUGAGAGAAGGAACAGCAAUGGAAGGGACCACCAAGAUAUAUACAGAAAUAUUAAGACCUGCUCCCUUAUACCCUAGUGGGGACUUAUGGCUAUGUAAGCAUC
This 14000-nucleotide long non-coding RNA is filed under the name Podarcis lilfordi (Lilford's wall lizard). The record is from RNAcentral. Lineage: Eukaryota; Metazoa; Chordata; Lepidosauria; Squamata; Lacertidae.